Molecule: transfer RNA, 86 nt
Filed under: Simkaniaceae bacterium
Lineage: Bacteria; Pseudomonadati; Chlamydiota; Chlamydiia; Parachlamydiales; Simkaniaceae
Description: tRNA-Leu
Rfam family: tRNA
About the family: Transfer RNA (tRNA) molecules are approximately 80 nucleotides in length. Their secondary structure includes four short double-helical elements and three loops (D, anti-codon, and T loops).
Source: RNAcentral
GCUCGAGUGGUGGAAUCGGCAGACACAAGGGACUUAAAAUCCCUUGGGCGGAAACGCCCGUGCGGGUUCAAGUCCCGCCUCGAGCA